This is a long non-coding RNA of Spinacia oleracea (spinach), 1338 nucleotides long. RefSeq lists it as uncharacterized. Lineage: Eukaryota; Viridiplantae; Streptophyta; Magnoliopsida; Caryophyllales; Amaranthaceae. The record is from RefSeq and is a predicted model, not a curated record. The transcript has 7 exons.
AUCUAUGAUUUAAAUUGACUUUUAAAUUAGUUCCAUUUACUUUUCUAAGUUAUUUAUCUACUUUUUAAAAUGUGAUUCAACUUGAGAUUUUGUUUAUGAGAUUUACUUUUAAAUUAGUUUCAUUUACUUUUCUUAGUUAUUUGAGGUUUUGUUGGACUUAGUGAUUUAUCUAACUCAAAAGUAAAGCAAAAACUAAAAAAAGUAAAUAGAAAUGAUCCAAAGUAAACAAAAUAUGGUCAAGUUCUGGUUGGUAGGUACCGGAGGUCAUAUGAAGCAAGUUGAUCAGGUUGACUUUGUGUUAUUGGUUUCUAUUUCAGUCGGGCUUCUUGCUGGUUGUGGUUGAUGACAGUUGCUAGAAAUGGUAUCCUCUAUGAGCCUGGUGAACACCCUUAUCACGUUGUCGUCAUCAAGUAUGUUCCAUAUGUGGGAGACAGAGGCAUGGAUGACUAUACAUCCGAGAUAUUCAUGGGUGGUAAGAACACCAUUGUGUUUCACAAAACUUGUGAGGACUCGCUUUUGCCUACUCCAAUCAUCCUUGACUUGGUCCUCCUCGCUGAGCUUAGCACCCGCAUCCAGUUCAAGGCUGAAAUAGAGGAAACUCUCACUCCUCCAUCCAGUUGCUACCAUACUCAGUUACGUCACUAAAGCACCUCUUAAAAGAAAUGACGAAAGGCUUGCCAAAAGGAUGGGAACCGCAUUUAGGAACAUGCUUUCCUAUUUAGGACGAGGGAGAUGUUGUUGAUGAGGAUUACUACGGAUCGGGAGGAGGUUAAGCAUGAUAAUUUUUUGCUUUUCUUCGAGGAAACGAAUUUAUUUUAAUACUUUUGAUUGAAUGGUGACCACUUUUCUUUUUCUGUUUUCGUGUACAUUAAGAUUGACUAUGAGAAGAAAGGGCAAGUUUGGACAAAGAUGUUGCACAGUUCCCUUGAUGAUUGGCAUAUCAAUUUAGAUACUAUUAUCCAGUGGUCUCCAUUCUCUAGUGAACAAGAGCUUCUUCAACAGUCGAUUGUUGUAUCAGUAUAGGUACCGUGACUGUCAUGGUCUCUUGCUGAGACAUUUGACUUGGUGGCAGUGGAGUUGCUGUAUUUUUCAAAGCCGCCUUGGUGGAUGUAGUAUCUUGCACCAAUUAACUUCCAGUAAAAAUGGUGUUUAUACAACAACAUUAUUCCGGCAAGACAAGACAUAAUCAAAGUCUUUUUGGAAGUUCAGAAGAAGCAGCAGCCUCAACUGUGAGAAUUUACCAGGCCAGAGUGGUGAAUCCUGGGCUGUUGGAUUGAUUUGAUCGACGGCUGAGAUUAGUUCUCAGUUCUCAUCUUAAGGGGUGGUUCUGAUCCCGAU